Manis javanica (Malayan pangolin) is the source of this 1553-nucleotide non-coding RNA. The record is from RefSeq and is a predicted model, not a curated record. NCBI's taxonomy places the organism in Eukaryota, Metazoa, Chordata, Mammalia, Pholidota, Manidae.
CGGGAGUGCGAGAGUGCGUGCGUUAGGAACCAUCGCGGGCUCGACGCGGCGGGGUCGCGGCCAUCGGUGGCUGUGCUGUGUGCACGCUGUUGCUGGGUGACCGUUGGCCAUUGGGUGGCUGUGACCGUUAAGCGUUUGGUCAAUCACUAGAAUCUCGUCCACUCAGAGCGAGUCUGCAUGCAGCAAGCCGGUCUCUCCUCCGGGCCUCUUCGCCCCCGCGACCAUCUCAGUCUCUGUCCUUGGUGCUGCCACCCCUCCAGUCUCUGCUCUCCUGCAGCUGUGCAGCCCAGAGCACUGUACUUGCCAGAGACCUGGGCAGAGCUCUUUAGAGUCAAUAAGAACGUAUUGCCCACAAGUGUGUAGAGAGCAAGCCGACCAGGGCCAGGUGAGAAUCCUGGCCGUAAGAACUUUCUUUUUAUCCCCACUAAGGUUAAACAUAUAUGUGUUUAAUAUAUAUGUGUGUGUGUGUUUAAAUAAAUGUAUCUUAUGAAGGAGAAGAAAAUAAGCAAACAUGUCUUAAAUGGGUUGCCAAGCAGCAUCUUGUUGCUGGCUGGUAUCUUUCAGCCUAGUCCCUGAGCCCCACGUAGUUUGGAAGCGCUGGACUUUACACAAACUGGGGCAGUGUGGUCCAGUGUGGUCAUCCGUCCGACAUCCUGGGGGUGGCCAGGCCCCGUUAGGUCUGGCCUCCCGAUGCAGAAACCCUCCCUGACCAAGGUGGUACAGUUCAUCCCUGAGCUGGGCCCAGGCCAGAGCCCUGAUUUGGCCUUGUUUAUGUUAGAAUAUGUACUCUUGUGCCUUCUUGAAAUAUCAGAGGUUUGUUCCUUGUCCAUGUUGUUGCAUGUCUGAAGGUGGUUGUUUCCUCCAAGUUAACCUAGAGAUGUAAAUGUGAUAAAAGUGCCAGUGCCCUCAGGAUGUGCUAAUUCUUGUCAGAUACUAAGGCACUCAAAGUCUUCCAUAGUUCUGCGGUAUUGGCUCAUGAAUUGUCUGACUGGUGGAAGAGAAAGUUCAGAAAUCUUAUCAAAUACAGGGGAUUUAGUGUGUAAUAAAGGUGGGGGCAAAUCACUGGGGCAAAAGUGGACUUCUUUUUCUUGGGGAAUAACUGGAUAGUCAUUUGGAAAAAGAUUAAAUUGGAUUCAGACCUCACAUCAUGCAAAAGAAUGAAUUCCAAAUUGAUGAGAGGUUUAAAUUAAGCUGUUCAAGCACCAGAAGUACAGAGGUGAAUUCCAUUUAGCGUGAAUGUUUGGGAAGACUUUCUAAUUAUGCCUUAAUAAUCCAGACUUAAUAAAAGGCUGCUACUUUUGAUAAUUUAAAACAAAUGUACUUUUGUAAGGCAAAAUACACUAUAAACAAAGGCAAAAGACAAAUGACAAACAAAAUGUUUAUAUGUGUCAUAAUAUAUAAAGAUAAAAUAUGUACAACUUUAUAAUAUAUGAAGACAAAAAAUUACAGCAACUUUUGAACUCAGUUUUGUUUUCAUCAUAGCAUGGGCAUCAUGAUUUGGACUUUUUGUUCGUUGUAGGAUUGAUCAAAUGAAUAAAAAAAAAUGUAUUGAU